This is a long non-coding RNA of Macrobrachium nipponense, 755 nucleotides long. RefSeq lists it as uncharacterized. The record is from RefSeq and is a predicted model, not a curated record. Lineage: Eukaryota; Metazoa; Arthropoda; Malacostraca; Decapoda; Palaemonidae. The transcript has 3 exons.
CCCGAGGACCGAGGCAGUGUGGCCUAGGCACCGGUCGAAGGAGGUGUGUCGUGGUGUGGCUCGGCAGACCUUGUGGAAAAAUUUCAGUGUCGCAGACUGUUCACGUGUUUUUACGAAAAGUUUCCCAUUUUUGGAAAAAAAUAUAUUCUAUGAAAACAAAUUACAGCAGAUGUUCGCUCGUUGUGGUGGUGGUUGUUGUGUGCGUAUGUGAUUCUGGUAAACUUUGAGAUAGAUAGUCUAGUGUGCUGGUGUGGAAUUAUUAUAAGAAUUAUAAUAUUUUGUGGCUGAUUGGUGGAAGCUUGAUGUAUAGUAUAUGUAUACCUUCUCAACUCUUCGGAAUUCACGGGCCAUUUAAUGAUAACGAAGUGAGACGCGUAUUUAUUUGGAUUUCAAAAGUUACUACUGCAGACCGUGGGCGCAUUGAAUAGUACUAAAGCGUCCAGGAGAUCCCAACCAACGUAUGGUCCUCAACAACGACUGGGGUGUUCGCCCGCCCGUGAGUCCUCUGCCAUGGUAACCGUGAGCCCGGCGGUGCCGGUCGCCAGCUCCGUCGUCGGCUUUGGGCUCUGUUGACGAGUCCGCCGCCCAGCCACACCCGCCACACACGCCCGUAGUGCCUACGACUCCCCUCCCUCCACACUUUACCCCCUCCUCCCCCUCCUCUUGCUACUACUCCUCCUUCUCCUCCUCUAGCGCUUCCGAAAGGAAGGAAGGAAGGAACAGAAGGCUCUCUGAAAGAGAGAGAGAGAGGAGGA